GAUGAACGCUGGCGGCGUGCCUAAUACAUGCAAGUCGAGCGAACGGACGAGAAGCUUGCGUCUUUGAUGUUAGCGGCGGACGGGUGAGUAACACGUGGAUAACCUACCUAUAAGACUGGGAUAAAUUCGGGAAACCGGAGCUAAUACCGGAUAAUAUUUUGAACCGCAUGGUUCAAAAGUGAAAGACGGUCUGGCUGUCACUUAUAGAUGGAUCCGCGCUGCAUUAGCUAGUUGGUAAGGUAACGGCUUACCAAGGCAACGAUGCAUAGCCGACCUGAGAGGGUGAUCGGCCACACUGGAACUGAGACACGGUCCAGACUCCUACGGGAGGCAGCAGUAGGGAAUCUUCCGCAAUGGGCGAAAGCCUGACGGAGCAACGCCGCGUGAGUGAUGAAGGUCUUCGGAUCGUAAAACUCUGUUGUUAGGGAAGAACAUAUGUGUGAGUAACUGUGAACAUCGUGACGGUACCUAAUCAGAAAGCCACGGCUAACUACGUG
Molecule: ribosomal RNA, 497 nt
Filed under: uncultured bacterium
Lineage: Bacteria
Description: partial 16S ribosomal RNA
Rfam family: Bacterial small subunit ribosomal RNA
Source: RNAcentral